GAUGAACGCUAGCUACAGGCUUAACACAUGCAAGUCGAGGGGAAACGAUAGGGAAAGCUUGCUUUUUCUAGGCGUCGACCGGCGCACGGGUGAGUAACGCGUAUCCAACCUGCCCAUCACUUGGGGAUAACCUUGCGAAAGUAAGACUAAUACCCAAUGACGUCUCUAGAAGACAUCUGAAGGAGAUUAAAGAUUUAUCGGUGAUGGAUGGGGAUGCGUCUGAUUAGCUUGUUGGCGGGGUAACGGCCCACCAAGGCGACGAUCAGUAGGGGUUCUGAGAGGAAGGUCCCCCACAUUGGAACUGAGACACGGUCCAAACUCCUACGGGAGGCAGCAGUGAGGAAUAUUGGUCAAUGGACGAGAGUCUGAACCAGCCAAGUAGCGUGCAGGAAGACGGCCCUAUGGGUUGUAAACUGCUUUUAUAAGGGAAUAAAGUGAGUCUCGUGAGACUUUUUGCAUGUACCUUAUGAAUAAGGACCGGCUAAUUCCGUGCCAGCCGCCGCGGUAA
Molecule: ribosomal RNA, 508 nt
Filed under: uncultured bacterium
Lineage: Bacteria
Description: partial 16S ribosomal RNA
Rfam family: Bacterial small subunit ribosomal RNA
Source: RNAcentral